UUUCCACUUUUGAAGGCAAUUAUGUUCUCUCUUGUGCACUUUCUUGUCAUAACUGGAGACAAGUGAGCCUAGGAUUAAAUAAACCUGAACUUUGAAGUAUGCAAGUCAGGCUUAUCUUUCAUACAGAGGUAUACAUUACAUCUGGGUGAUCCCUGAUGUUGUGAGAUUGAUUGCAGGAGAUUUGCUGUAUCAGAAGCAGUCUGAGAAGAGCAGAAGCAACGUCAUGAAUUGUAUUCUGGAAUAUGACUGGAAGGGAGGGGCAAUUGCCGGGAGGAUGGAAUGUUAAGGUGUACCAAAACAUUCUGUCUGUAACACAAGGAUCCUUGCAGGCACGGUAUGAUACAUUUUGACUGUUAUGGAAAUGAGGAGAGGCAACCUUUGUCUGAGUUGCUGUCUCUUGACUGGAGACCACUGGACCCUAGGGAUAUGGUGAAAAAGUUACACCUCACCGACACCAUAACUGAGGACUCGGCUGGAAACCUCAUUUUCCAGCCCUUGAUUGAUCUAUCGAAGCAUAUGUUUGUCUUGCUGUGCUGCCCUGGUGAUCUUCCUUCUGGUACUCCUACCAGAGAGACCAACAUUCCAAGCUGCUUUUCGCUAUGGACAGAUUCUCCUCUUGUCUCUUCAGCCUAAGCCAAGGAUUCAGCUCUCUCUCUCUUUGGCCACCAAACUACUCCACCUGCCUCUCAGGUCUUCCUUCUUUUUCCCUGAUCCUCUUCCUGUGCUGUCGUCAUGUUCUUCUUCUUGUUCACUCCACAAACACCAAGUACCAUCAGCUCAAACUCUCCAACCAAUUAACCCUUCUCUGCUGACCGGCACCUAGCCUUAUAUACCCUUCUGGCCCAUCUUGUCCUUUCCCAGCCAAUCACACUGUCUAACUAAAAAUUCUAAACCUGCACCCACCAUCUGAAACCUGUGUAUCUUCUACUCUUCUUUUGCAUACUGAGAAUUCUAACUCACAGCUGUCAGUUGUGGCCCAACAUGACAGUUAAACUAACUUUAACUGGACCAGACAGAAAACUUCCCACAUCAAAUAAUUAUGCUGUACAUUACAAUACAAAUGUCAGAACAGAUUGCAUAAUACUGAAAAUUAAAAUGUAAUUCAAGUGGACAUGACUUCUUUACAGUCUGUUUGAAGUAUUUGAUAGUACAGCAGCCAUUUAAGUGUUAAUAUUUGUUUAGUUUUAUGCCAAUGAUCAGAGAUAAUCUAUAACUUUAAAAGAAAUAUAUUGGGCAACUGGAUCUGGCAGGUCGGCCAAAUUCUUAUCUUUCCCUGCAUGAGUCAACUUUUUUAUGAUCCAAGGAUUCUUAUGUUCGUCCAGCUUCUCUUCUUGAACUCCUGUGCUCAUUUGGGUGGGAGAAACAUUCUAGAGAAGGAAAAAGUCAUGUUAGGUUUGAUUCCUCUGCCAGUCUGGAGAAAUACCUCCAAAUGCUUUCACCCACAGGAUAUACAAAGGAUGCUAUCUGGUAUUUUGGUGUCCAUGUCCUUAUCACAUCAACAGCCAAAACAAAGCAAUUGCAUCUCUCAUAUUCAAGGCUAUAUGUACUCACUGUAAAGAGAGAGGGAAAAUGGUUGUGUCUAUGUAAUCCAAAUUUAGCCAAGAAAACCUGAAUCCUGCUGCUUGCUUAAAAAAUUCAAGUAGUGCAAAUGUAUGUAAUUUUCUCUUAUUUUGCCUAAUUUAUUUUGGUUUUACCAUGAUUGGGAGUCAUGAUGGGGAGAAAUAGAAUAAAGCAGGGCACUAAGAUUCCCCUUCCAAUUACUGGAUUGGAAAAACAAUGCCUGGACUGGAAAA
Molecule: long non-coding RNA, 1793 nt
Organism: Rhineura floridana
Lineage: Eukaryota; Metazoa; Chordata; Lepidosauria; Squamata; Rhineuridae
Exons: 4
Source: RefSeq, a predicted model, not a curated record